Molecule: ribosomal RNA, 17 nt
Filed under: Trichoderma inhamatum
Lineage: Eukaryota; Fungi; Ascomycota; Sordariomycetes; Hypocreales; Hypocreaceae
Description: partial 18S ribosomal RNA
Source: RNAcentral
AAUUUUGGAUGAACCUU